Long non-coding RNA from Corvus hawaiiensis (hawaiian crow), 997 nucleotides. RefSeq lists it as uncharacterized. NCBI's taxonomy places the organism in Eukaryota, Metazoa, Chordata, Aves, Passeriformes, Corvidae. The transcript is spliced from 4 exons. The record is from RefSeq and is a predicted model, not a curated record.
AAGAAAUGAAAUGCCCGAGGGAAGCUUCGUGUUCCCGUGGGGAUGCUUUCGGCGCGUGCAGCUUCUGAGCUGCACCAAAACUUGAGGCUCCCACAGAAGCUUCCGGGUGCUGGAAUUGCCUGUCUGGACGUGUGCUGAGCUCUCGCUGCUGUGGACUGUGCAGCAUUAAUUGCUGCAGGUUCCUGUUCUUCUCACCAGCUCAAAGUCACCGGCGAGCCUGGGACAAGACCUGAGCCAGAACUUGUUGGGCCCUUGCAGAGAGAGAAGCAGUAAAUGGUGUUGGAGAGUUUUUGGGAGUGCUGUCGUGUCUGCUGCAUUGGGUGUCCCAAGGAAGGCUGGAUUCCUCAGCAGGAGUCUUAGGAAUUGGUGCUAAUUCUGCUUUUUCUGAAGGUGUAUCCAAGGAUGCUACCAAAAUGGCUGUUUUCUCUGCUGAAAAGCUUUCCCUCUAUGACAUCAAUGCAUGCAUGUGUUUUAAUCAUGUAGCCAGAUGUACUAAGAAUUGUACUUUCAAUGCAAACACCUGCAGUAGGUCUCUGUUUGGUUUGUGUCUGCGAGAGGUGGGAUUUGUGCUGGAGAGGUGCUCUUGAGUACAAAGGACGGAGUAAAUCGGCUCCCUGGUUGUGCAGUGAAGGACUGACUUGCAGGGAAGGGGAGCAUUUAGAAACUGCAUCAAUAUUGCCCUGAAAUUCUGGGUAGUUGGAGUUGGCUUGGGCCUGUCAGGGUGAGCCAUAAGCAACCCGAGCAAGCCCCUGAAGCCUCAAUGGGUGUUUGAAACACUUCCACAGAAAGCCAAAGCAGUAACGAUUCCAGAGGAGAAGUUAUAGGUGAUUGCUUAUGAUCGGUGGGGAAUUUCCUUGGCAAUUAUUAACCUUGGACAUAGGGCAUUUUGGAGGUGGAAUUCCAGUUUCAGCCACAGGCACCUGGAUGAGAAGGAGAGCUCUUUGCCAGAGGAAGGGAAGUAUUCUUUUGCCAGUUAGUGCUGUUAGUGAAGUGAUCA